GCCUCGGUAGCGCAGUGGGCAGCGCGUCAGUCUCAUAAUCUGAAGGUCAUGGGCCCAGACCUGGCUCGGGGCA
Molecule: transfer RNA, 73 nt
Filed under: Mycoplasma sp.
Lineage: Bacteria; Bacillati; Mycoplasmatota; Mollicutes; Mycoplasmatales; Mycoplasmataceae
Also listed under: 1 other name
Description: tRNA-Met
Rfam family: tRNA
About the family: Transfer RNA (tRNA) molecules are approximately 80 nucleotides in length. Their secondary structure includes four short double-helical elements and three loops (D, anti-codon, and T loops).
Source: RNAcentral